AUGAACGCUGGCGGCGUGCCUAAUACAUGCAAGUCGAGCGAACAGACGAGGAGCUUGCUCCUCUGACGUUAGCGGCGGACGGGUGAGUAACACGUGGAUAACCUACCUAUAAGACUGGGAUAACUUCGGGAAACCGGAGCUAAUACCGGAUAUUAUAUUGAACCGCAUGGUUCAAUAGUGAAAGACGGUUUUGCUGUCACUUAUAGAUGGAUCCGCGCCGCAUUAGCUAGUUGGUAAGGUAACGGCUUACCAAGGCAACGAUGCGUAGCCGACCUGGGAGGGUGAUCGGCCACACUGGAACUGGAACACGGUCCAGACUCCUACGGGAGGCGGCAGUAGGGAAUCUUCGGCAAUGGGCGAAAGCCUGACGGAGCAACGCCGCGUGAGUGAUGAAGGUUUUCGGAUCGUAAAACUCUGUUAUUAGGGAGGAACAAAUGUGUAAGUAAAUAUGCACGUCUUGACGGUACCUAAUCAGAAAGCCACGGCUAACUACGUG
This 496-nucleotide ribosomal RNA is filed under the name uncultured bacterium. RNAcentral's name for it is "partial 16S ribosomal RNA". It matches the Rfam family "Bacterial small subunit ribosomal RNA", at positions 29 to 507 of the family's 1533-position model. The record is from RNAcentral.